This is a long non-coding RNA of Pseudophryne corroboree (corroboree frog), 1058 nucleotides long. RefSeq lists it as uncharacterized. Lineage: Eukaryota; Metazoa; Chordata; Amphibia; Anura; Myobatrachidae. The transcript has 3 exons. The record is from RefSeq and is a predicted model, not a curated record.
UCUGUCACUACGUCCCUGCUGACCCUCUCUGUCCCUACAUCCCUGUUGCCCCUCUCUGUCCCUACGUCCCUGCUGCCCCUCUCUCUGUCCCUGCUGCCCCUCUCUCUGUCUCUACGUCCCUGCUGCCCCUCUCUGUCCCUACGUCCCUGCUGCCCCUCUCUGUCCCUAAGUCCCCGCUGCCCCUCUCUGUCCCUACUGCCCCUCUAUCUGUCUCAAUGUCCCUGCUGCCCCUCUCUCUGUCUCAAUGUCCCUGCUGCCCCUCUCUGUCCCUACGCCCCUGCUGGCCCUCUCUCUGUCCCUACUGCCCCUCUCUCUGUCCCUAUGUCCCUGCUGCAUCUCUCUCUCUCCCUACGUCACUGCUGCCACUCUCUCUGUCCCUACUGCCCCUCUCUCUGUCCCUAUGUCCCUGCUGCAUCUCUCUCUCUCCCUACGUCCCUACUGCCCCUUUCACUGUCCCUACAUCCCUGCUGACUUUCUCUUUGUCCCUAUGUCCCUGCUGCCUAUAUCUGUUCCUACGGGAUCCAGUCAGGAUCCUGAUGGUCGGGACCCCUGGCAUCCUGACAAGGAUAACCAUCUCGGUGCAGGAAUUUCGACUGUCAGUAUCCGGAAUGAGCAAGGCCUGGGAUGCCAGACAGGUUGCACCGGCCCCGGUCAGCUGACGCAGAAGGAUCCUAUCCCGGACGAUCUCACAACCAAUCCCCUCUAUUUCCGGUUGUGGAUCUGGUGACACACAUGCUGUUGGUCACCAUGGCAGCCACGGCGUGUGAGGAGAGGGGGGAAGCGGAAUGUGAUAGCCGGAAGAAUGGACCCGGUGUGCGGCGGCGGGGACGGUGCGAUCCUGUACAGGCGCACCCAGAGACCAGAAGAAGCCGCAAGCAGCUGCCAAUAAGGAACAAAAGUAGACUCCUUUCCGCCUUGGACAUGUUCACCUGAAAGUUACGACAUUUCUUCAAGUUUGAAUAUCGCUUUUCCGCUACUAAAGCUAGCGGACAGUUUAGACCGUUACCUUUCCCCACUUUGUUUAGGGGAACGUUAUGACUUGAAUGUUAAAUAAACUA